Long non-coding RNA from Rosa chinensis, 411 nucleotides. RefSeq lists it as uncharacterized. NCBI's taxonomy places the organism in Eukaryota, Viridiplantae, Streptophyta, Magnoliopsida, Rosales, Rosaceae. The transcript has 2 exons. The record is from RefSeq and is a predicted model, not a curated record.
GUUUAGACUGCUAAGACUCCACGCCUAAUCUGUUUAUCUUCCUUGGUUCCUCCUCCCUCGUCUCAACUCAUGCUCUCCCUAUACCAUUCUUCAUUCUUCCUCAUCACCAUAAGACUGGUCUCUCUUGAAGGUGAGGAAGUCAAUGUGUCGUAUCAAGCACGUACUCACUUAGAGAGUAAUUGAAGAACCCGAUUCCAGGAGGUCUGCUGAGAUGAAGAGGAUGAUAAAUGCGUUGUGAUGGCCUCUACACCCAUGUAUUGGAUGGUUGGUGAUAUUGGCGACGCUGCCUAGCUUCUUUAUCUCCUUGCAUGUAGGACUAGAAACUUGUGGUAAUCUGAAUUAAAAGGAGCAACUUGUAAUAUGUGAUCAAUCUAUGAUGGCUUUUUAUCUUUCUAUUUUGAUGAACUCUUA